Molecule: ribosomal RNA, 253 nt
Filed under: uncultured bacterium
Lineage: Bacteria
Description: partial 16S ribosomal RNA
Rfam family: Bacterial small subunit ribosomal RNA
Source: RNAcentral
UACGGAGGGAGCUAGCGUUGUUCGGAAUUACUGGGCGUAAAGCGCACGUAGGCGGCUUUGUAAGUUAGGGGUGAAAGCCUGGAGCUCAACUUCAGAAUUGCCCUUAAGACUGCAUCGCUUGAAUCCAGGAGAGGUGAGUGGAAUUCCGAGUGUAGAGGUGAAAUUCGUAGAUAUUCGGAAGAACACCAGUGGCGAAGGCGGCUCACUGGUCCAUUACUGACGCUGAGGUGCGAAAGCGUGGGGAGCAAACAGG